Cebus imitator (Panamanian white-faced capuchin) is the source of this 705-nucleotide long non-coding RNA. RefSeq lists it as uncharacterized. The transcript has 2 exons. Lineage: Eukaryota; Metazoa; Chordata; Mammalia; Primates; Cebidae. The record is from RefSeq and is a predicted model, not a curated record.
GUGAGCAAACACUCAAGGCAAGCGGUGACUGGAGGAGGAGCCAUGCCCCACAGCGAGUCUGGGCCCUCUCAACUCAGGAUCCCAGGACCAGGCAGAAAACCAGCAAGGCAGCAGCAGAGAAAACCAGGCGUGUGCAGGCCUGCCGCACUUCACUGAGCUUUGCUUUCUGACUUUCCAGAGACUGCAUUUCUUACAAAGGGAAGGUUUGUGGCAACCUUCUGCGUCAGCGCUAUUUUUCCAACCGCAGGCCUUCGCUUUGUGUCUCUGUGUCACAUUUGGACCUCGUUCCUUGGCAGACAGACUUUGCAAUCCCAGGGACUCUGAGUUUCACGCAUCGCCAUUAGCACCACAGAAUUCAUCUGGAGGCUGGGGAGAGAUGCCCGGGAGUCCUCCAAACAUUUGAAGCUUCUCCAGCUUCGCUUGUCUGUUUCUUACUUGGUCUGUGCUCAUUCCGCCUCACUUUGUAUUUGCUAGAUGAAGGGGAUAAUGAUUAUGACUGUUUCCGUAAGCAAGAGCAAGGGAGGCAAUUAGUUCAAUAAAUGUUAAUUAAGUGCUAACUAUAUGCAGCUACUGUGAGAGGUGCUGGAAAUACAAGAUCAGGAAAAGAACCCCUGUCCAGAAGAAGUUCACAAAAAUCUCUUAACUCUUUGCAUCCCAACAACAAGGUAACUUUCUGGCCAUUACAGAAUGUCACAUUUGAAUUUC